CCUACGGGAGGCAGCAGUGAGGAAUAUUUGUCAAUAGACGAGAGUCUGAACCAGCCAAGUAGCGUGAAGGAUGACUGCCCUAUGGGUUGUAAACUUCUUUUAUAUGGGAAUAAAAUGUUCCACGUGUGGGAUUUUGUAUGUACCAUAUGAAUAAGGAUCGGCUAACUCCGUGCCAGCAGCCGCGGUAAUACGGAGGAUCCGAGCGUUAUCCGGAUUUAUUGGGUUUAAAGGGAGCGUAGGUGGAUUGUUAAGUCAGUUGUGAAAGUUUGCGGCUCAACCGUAAAAUUGCAGUUGAAACUGGCAGUCUGGAGUACAGUAGAGGUGGGCGGAAUUCGUGGUGUAGCGGUGAAAUGCUUAGAUAUCACGAAGAACUCCGAUUGCGAAGGCAGCUCACUGGACUGCAACUGACACUGAGGCUCGAAAGUGUGGGUAUCAAACAGGAUUAGAUACCCCUGUAGUC
RNAcentral lists this ribosomal RNA (460 nucleotides) under uncultured bacterium. RNAcentral describes it as "partial 16S ribosomal RNA". It matches the Rfam family "Bacterial small subunit ribosomal RNA", at positions 338 to 795 of the family's 1533-position model. The record is from RNAcentral.